CUGCAGCAUCUGAGUGGAUUGUUGUGAGUGUUGGUCCACAGACUGCAUCAACGCCAUGACUCGCCUGCUGCUAGGAGUCGCCCUGCUGGGGAAGCUGGCCCUCUGCGCCACAGCUCAAGAGAUGCUGGCUCCACCUGGCCAGGUGAGGUUUGAGUCUACAGACUACAAAAACAUCCUGCACUGGGCCGCGCCCUCCAACAGCUCCUCUCUGCAUUAUCACGUCCAGUAUAAGAUUUACGGCGAGGUCGACUGGCUGAAUGUUAGCAGCUGCCAGGGGAUCCAGAGGCACCACUGUGACCUCAGCAGCGUCACCUCCGACACCACAGAGUGGUACUAUGCCCGGGUGCGAGCUUCGUCUGCGGCCUCCAGCAGCAAAUCCGCCUGGGCUUUGUCCCACAGAUUCAACUCCCGCUGGAGCAGUAGAAUCAGCCCUCCUACAGUGAAGCUGAACUCCUCCAAACAACGCGUCGUGGUCCAGGUGAAGGCCCCCCGAGUGCUGGUCCGCAAGAUGCACAACAACGUGGACUACAACGUCUACGUCACGCACGGCAACGGAAAGGAGGAGGUGUACGAGAUCGCCUGCUGCUCCCACAAGCUGACUCUGACAGAGCUGAAGCCCAAGACACACUACUGCUUCCAGGCACAGACCGUCAUCCCCAGACACAUGAAGAGCAGCGACCGCAGCUCCGCAAAGUGCAUCACCACGGCCUGACGGCGCAGGUACGAGCCCAGAGCGCCGCGUCCACACCUGUACUCCGCGGUGCAGACGCUGGUUGACCGGGGCGGUGUCGUCACCCACGGCUUUGAUCUUCAUCCCUACCUCCACAGGUGUCUGAGCUCCUAAAAGCGACGCCUCCUCCUCCUCCUCCUCCUCCUCCGAGGAGCGCGUUGUUUAAAGUCUGUUGCUCAAACUGAACCUUAAGUCUGAAACGAUUUGAUAACACGGCGGGUUUCUUUCAGCCAGUUCUUCUCAGACGAAAUGAGUUUCUCUGUGACGGUGUGGUCAUGCCACCUAUGUUUUGCUUUUAUAAAAACUAAAACAGUAAGAUUUAUCUUCUAAAAUAUUUAUACACACGUUUGUUAGACUUCGUUUAGAGGAAGCACAUUUGCGUAGCUCAGCACAUCUCACCCAGCCGCCGCUGAAGGCUUAAUGAAUGUUUCUAACUUUUUGAACAACCUGUGAGACAAUAAAAUCCCUCCAGAGCUUCAGCUUGAACAAAAAUAAAUAUAAAUAACACAUGGUGAUGGUUUGUGCUGCAUGUGUGACUUUGCUAAUAAAAGGAUGAAUUUCC
This is an RNA transcript of Fundulus heteroclitus (mummichog), 1292 nucleotides long. It is a transcript of the gene named interleukin 22 receptor, alpha 2, with no coding region annotated. The record is from RefSeq and is a predicted model, not a curated record. The transcript has 6 exons. Lineage: Eukaryota; Metazoa; Chordata; Actinopteri; Cyprinodontiformes; Fundulidae.